RNAcentral lists this ribosomal RNA (446 nucleotides) under uncultured bacterium. RNAcentral describes it as "partial 16S ribosomal RNA". It matches the Rfam family "Bacterial small subunit ribosomal RNA", at positions 338 to 795 of the family's 1533-position model. The record is from RNAcentral.
CCUACGGGUGGCAGCAGUCGAGAAUCAUUCACAAUGGGGGAAACCCUGAUGGUGCGACGCCGCGUGGGGGAAUGAAGGUCUUCGGAUUGUAAACCCCUGUCAUGUGGGAGCAAAUUAAAAAGAUAGUACCACAAGAGGAAGAGACGGCUAACUCUGUGCCAGCAGCCGCGGUAAUACAGAGGUCUCAAGCGUUGUUCGGAAUCACUGGGCGUAAAGCGUGCGUAGGCUGUUUCGUAAGUCGUGUGUGAAAGGCGCGGGCUAAACCCGCGGAAGGCACAUGAUACUGCGAGACUAGAGGAAUAGAGGGGGAACGGGGAAUGUGGGUGUAGGAGGGAAAUGCGUAGGUAACGAGAGAGACACUCGAGGGGAAGGGGGGUUCAUGGACAUUAACUGACGCUGGGGCACGAAGGCCAGGGGAGCGAAAGAGAAUAGAUACCCCAGUAGUC